This 621-nucleotide ribosomal RNA is filed under the name Salmonella enterica subsp. enterica serovar Urbana. RNAcentral describes it as "bacterial SSU rRNA". It matches the Rfam family "Bacterial small subunit ribosomal RNA", at positions 1 to 615 of the family's 1533-position model. Lineage: Bacteria; Pseudomonadati; Pseudomonadota; Gammaproteobacteria; Enterobacterales; Enterobacteriaceae. The record is from RNAcentral.
UGAAGAGUUUGAUCAUGGCUCAGAUUGAACGCUGGCGGCAGGCCUAACACAUGCAAGUCGAACGGUAACAGGAAGCAGCUUGCUGCUUUGCUGACGAGUGGCGGACGGGUGAGUAAUGUCUGGGAAACUGCCUGAUGGAGGGGGAUAACUACUGGAAACGGUGGCUAAUACCGCAUAACGUCGCAAGACCAAAGAGGGGGACCUUCGGGCCUCUUGCCAUCAGAUGUGCCCAGAUGGGAUUAGCUUGUUGGUGAGGUAACGGCUCACCAAGGCGACGAUCCCUAGCUGGUCUGAGAGGAUGACCAGCCACACUGGAACUGAGACACGGUCCAGACUCCUACGGGAGGCAGCAGUGGGGAAUAUUGCACAAUGGGCGCAAGCCUGAUGCAGCCAUGCCGCGUGUAUGAAGAAGGCCUUCGGGUUGUAAAGUACUUUCAGCGGGGAGGAAGGUGUUGUGGUUAAUAACCGCAGCAAUUGACGUUACCCGCAGAAGAAGCACCGGCUAACUCCGUGCCAGCAGCCGCGGUAAUACGGAGGGUGCAAGCGUUAAUCGGAAUUACUGGGCGUAAAGCGCACGCAGGCGGUCUGUCAAGUCGGAUGUGAAAUCCCCGGGCUCAACCU